This 247-nucleotide ribosomal RNA is filed under the name uncultured bacterium. Its description in RNAcentral is "partial 16S ribosomal RNA". It matches the Rfam family "Bacterial small subunit ribosomal RNA", at positions 28 to 257 of the family's 1533-position model. The record is from RNAcentral.
GAUGAACGCUAGCGGCAAGCUUAAUACAUGCAAGUCGAGGGGCAGCAUGGGGGCGGAACCCUACGAUGGCGGACCCGGCCGAAACGGGUAGGCGGAACGAACGUACGCAACCUUACCCAAACUAGGUGAAUAAGCCUUUCGUAAAGAGAGAUUAAUACACCGUAAGAUAACGAGCAGGCAUCUACUUGUUAUUAUAGUAGCAUACGGUUUUGGUAUGGGCGUGCGCCUGAUUAGGUAGUUGGCGGGG